GCAAACUUGGUCAUUUAGAGGAAGUAAAAGUCGUAACAAGGUUUCCGUAGGUGAACCUGCGGAAGGAUCAUUACCGAUUCUAAAGGAUGUGCUGGCCUCAUGGCAUGUGCACUCCAAAACCUCUUACCCCUGUGAACCUUUUGUAGUCUGGCAUUAAGGGAGAACUUGUUCUUCUGCUAUGACUAUGUUUUUAUACACUCUUUAUUAAUUUAUAGAAUGUUUUUAAGACCUUAACAAGUCUAAUAAAUUUAAUAUAACUUUCAACAACGGAUCUCUUGGUUCUCGCAUCGAUGAAGAACGCAGC
RNAcentral lists this unclassified non-coding RNA (304 nucleotides) under uncultured fungus. RNAcentral describes it as "partial contains small subunit ribosomal RNA, internal transcribed spacer 1, and 5.8S ribosomal RNA". The stretch from base 1 to 73 matches the Rfam family "Eukaryotic small subunit ribosomal RNA", at positions 1759 to 1831 of the family's 1831-position model. Lineage: Eukaryota; Fungi. The record is from RNAcentral.